This 468-nucleotide ribosomal RNA is filed under the name uncultured bacterium. RNAcentral describes it as "partial 16S ribosomal RNA". It matches the Rfam family "Bacterial small subunit ribosomal RNA", at positions 28 to 507 of the family's 1533-position model. The record is from RNAcentral.
GACGAACGCUGGCGGCGUGCUUAACACAUGCAAGUCGAACGGAAAGGCCCUGCUUUUGUGGGGUGCUCGAGUGGCGAACGGGUGAGUAACACGUGAGUAACCUGCCCUUGACUUUGGGAUAACUUCAGGAAACUGGGGCUAAUACCGGAUAGGAGCUCCUGCUGCAUGGUGGGGGUUGGAAAGUUUCGGCGGUUGGGGAUGGACUCGCGGCUUAUCAGCUUGUUGGUGGGGUAGUGGCUUACCAAGGCUUUGACGGGUAGCCGGCCUGAGAGGGUGACCGGCCACAUUGGGACUGAGAUACGGCCCAGACUCCUACGGGAGGCAGCAGUGGGGAAUAUUGCACAAUGGGCGGAAGCCUGAUGCAGCAACGCCGCGUGCGGGAUGACGGCCUUCGGGUUGUAAACCGCUUUCUCCUGUGACGAAGCGUGAUUGACGGUAAUGGGUAAAGAAGCAACGGCUAACUACGUG